RNAcentral lists this ribosomal RNA (791 nucleotides) under uncultured archaeon. RNAcentral describes it as "bacterial SSU rRNA". It matches the Rfam family "Archaeal small subunit ribosomal RNA", at positions 85 to 879 of the family's 1478-position model. The record is from RNAcentral.
ACGGCUCAGUAACACGUGGAUAACCUGCCCAAGAGUCCGGGAUACCCCCGGGAAACUGGGGUUAAGACCGGAUGGGCCACUACGUCUGGAAUGUGUGGUGGUUUAAACGCGAGGCUUUUGGAUGGGUCUGCGGCGGAUUAGGUGGACGCCGGUGUAACGUACCGGCGUGCCGGUCAUCCGUACGGGUUGUGGGAGCAAGAGCCCGGAGAUGGAUUCUGAGACACGAAUCCAGGCCCUACGGGGCGCAGCAGGCGCGAAAACUCUACAAUGCAGGCAACUGCGAUAGGGGGACAUCGAGUGGCACCCACCUUGGGUGCCUGUCCCACCGUCUAAAAAACGGUGGUUAGCAAGGGCCGGGUAAGACCGGUGCCAGCCGCCGCGGUAAUACCGGCGGCUCGAGUGGUGGCCGAUAUUAUUGAGUCUAAAGGGUCCGUAGCCGGCUCCGCAAGUCCCCUGGGAAAUCCAGCGGCCUAACCGUUGGUCGUCCAUGGGAUACUACGUUGCUUGGGACUGGGAGAGGUGGGAGGUACUCGGGGGGUAGGGGUGAAAUCCUGUAAUCCUCCGGGGACCACCGGUGGCGAAGGCGUCCCACCAGAACAGGUCCGACGGUGAGGGACGAAAGCUAGGGGCACGAACCGGAUUAGAUACCCGGGUAGUCCUAGCCGUAAACGAUGCCCGCUAGGUGUCACGGCGGUCGUGAAUCGCCGUGGUGCCGUAGGGAAGCCGCGAAGCGGGCCACUUGGGAAGUACGGCCGCAAGGCUGAAACUUAAAGGAAUUGGCGGGGGAGCAC